GACGAACGCUGGCGGCGUGCCUAAUACAUGCAAGUAGAACGCUGAAGAGAGGAGCUUGCUCUUCUUGGAUGAGUUGCGAACGGGUGAGUAACGCGUAGGUAACCUGCCUGGUAGCGGGGGAUAACUAUUGGAAACGAUAGCUAAUACCGCAUAAAAUGGAUUAUCGCAUGAUAAUCGAUUGAAAGGUGCAAAUGCAUCACUACCAGAUGGACCUGCGUUGUAUUAGCUAGUUGGUGGGGUAACGGCUCACCAAGGCGACGAUACAUAGCCGACCUGAGAGGGUGAUCGGCCACACUGGGACUGAGACACGGCCCAGACUCCUACGGGAGGCAGCAGUAGGGAAUCUUCGGCAAUGGACGGAAGUCUGACCGAGCAACGCCGCGUGAGUGAAGAAGGUUUUCGGAUCGUAAAGCUCUGUUGUAAGAGAAGAACGAGUGUGAGAGNGGAAAGUUCACAC
Molecule: ribosomal RNA, 457 nt
Filed under: uncultured bacterium
Lineage: Bacteria
Description: bacterial SSU rRNA
Rfam family: Bacterial small subunit ribosomal RNA
Source: RNAcentral